RNAcentral lists this ribosomal RNA (468 nucleotides) under uncultured bacterium. Its description in RNAcentral is "partial 16S ribosomal RNA". It matches the Rfam family "Bacterial small subunit ribosomal RNA", at positions 28 to 507 of the family's 1533-position model. The record is from RNAcentral.
GACGAACGCUGGCGGUGUGCUUAACACAUGCAAGUCGAACGGUAAGGCCCCUUCGGGGGUACACGAGUGGCGAACGGGUGAGUAACACGUGAGUAACCUGCCCUCAUCUCUGGGAUAACAGUCGGAAACGGUUGCUAAUACUGGAUAUGAGCUUGCAAGGCAUCUUGUGGGUUGGAAAGAUUUUUUUUGGUUGGGGAUGGACUCGCGGCCUAUCAGCUUGUUGGUGAGGUAGUGGCUCACCAAGGCUUCGACGGGUAGCCGGCCUGAGAGGGCGACCGGCCACAUUGGGACUGAGAUACGGCCCAAACUCCUACGGGAGGCAGCAGUGGGGAAUAUUGCACAAUGGACGGAAGUCUGAUGCAGCAACGCCGCGUGCGGGAUGACGGCCUUCGGGUUGUAAACCACUGUCAAUUGUGACGAAGCUUUUUUGUGACGGUAGCAGUAGAAGAAGCACCGGCUAACUACGUG